CGUUACCAAACUGUUGCCUCGGCGGGAUCUCUGCCCCGGGUGCGUCGCAGCCCCGGACCAAGGCGCCCGCCGGAGGACCAACCAAAACUCUUAUUGUAUACCCCCUCGCGGGUUUUUUUAUAAUCUGAGCCUUCUCGGCGCCUCUCGUAGGCGUUUCGAAAAUGAAUCAAAACUUUCAACAACGGAUCUCUUGGUUCUGGCAUCGAUGAAGAACGCAGCGAAAUGCGAUAAGUAAUGUGAAUUGCAGAAUUCAGUGAAUCAUCGAAUCUUUGAACGCACAUUGCGCCCGCCAGUAUUCUGGCGGGCAUGCCUGUCCGAGCGUCAUUUCAACCCUCGAACCCCUCCGGGGGGUCGGCGUUGGGGAUCGGCCCUCCCUUAGCGGGUGGCCGUCUCCGAAAUACAGUGGCGGUCUCGCCGCAGCCUCUCCUGCGCAGUAGUUUGCACACUCGCAUCGGGAGCGCGGCGCGUCCACAGCCGUUAAACACCCAACUUCUGAAAUGUUGACCUCGGAUCAGGUAGGAAUACCCGCUGAACUUAAGCAUAUCAAU
RNAcentral lists this ribosomal RNA (548 nucleotides) under Trichoderma harzianum. RNAcentral's name for it is "eukaryotic LSU rRNA". The stretch from base 171 to 324 matches the Rfam family "5.8S ribosomal RNA". Lineage: Eukaryota; Fungi; Ascomycota; Sordariomycetes; Hypocreales; Hypocreaceae. The record is from RNAcentral.